RNAcentral lists this long non-coding RNA (1934 nucleotides) under Homo sapiens (human). RNAcentral describes it as "HSALNT0288181". Lineage: Eukaryota; Metazoa; Chordata; Mammalia; Primates; Hominidae. The record is from RNAcentral.
CUCAUCUGCACUCCAGCGGCUCAUGGCCAGCUCCCUCACCUGCACCAGUGGCUCUUGGCCGGCUCCCUCCCCUGCACACCAGCGGCUCACGGCCGGCUCCCUCCCCUGCACACCAGUGGCUCAUGGCUCACUCCCUCCCUUGCAAACCAGCAGCUCACGGCCUGCUCCCUCCCCUGCAUUCCAGCAGCUCAUGACCAGCUCCCUCACCUGCACUCCAGUGGGUGGCCCAGUGCUUGUGCAAAAGCUGCUGACUAGCUCCAGCCUGCCCAAAUCCACAAACGUCUCUUAUGUGGUGGUUGAACCACAUUUUAUGACAUCUGAACACCUUUCAAAUCUGUGCUUCCUUGGGUACCUCUCUUUCCAAUAGGGCACCAGGCAGAGUUGCUUUAUGUCUUACAGUGACUCUUUUAUCAUAGUUGCAAUCCUUUAUACUACACUUCCCCGUUAGACCCACUAUGUGGUUUCUAUCUCUUGAUGGGACCCAGGCUGCUACACAACCUAACCCAUGAACAUUGCACUUCAUUAAUUCCUCACCAUUGGCCCAAGAUCAUGCUCCAUCACCUGUCUCUGCCUUCUGACUUUCUUUCCUUAAGUGAAACCCCUAAACGUCCUCUUUGUGCCCAAAGCUUACCUGCUCUUCCUUCCCUAUAUUCUUGGCCAGACACAAAAAUCUGAUGCUCUGGCAAAUGCAGAAAUGGGGAGAAGGCAGGGGAAUCAUUUCUCCUCCCUUAGGUAAGCACUGAGGGUUAUGUCAUUCCAUUGUGUGAGGAAUAAAAAAAUGAGGCAUAGAGAGCUGCCAUGAUUUGCCUGGACCAAUGAAGCUUUCAUGGCAGAGGUGGAACAAAUGUUUAGGUGUCCUGAAUGUCAGUCCAGCUCAUAUGUCUUCAGAACGUGCUGUGGAGGGAGACACCGGGGGAUCCCACUCAUGCUGAGCACUCAGGGGUACCCAGGUGCUGAGAGUGGGGACGUGACAGGCUGAGUUGACUCAGUCCAGUCCUCCUACACCAAAUAAUGAUGGAAACCCUCACAUAAUAGAAGUGAAGAGAGGGAACGAAGCCAGGAACUAUUAAGAGGCUGAUGCCUAGGAGGCCUGGGCAGAAUGACAGGGAGAUUAGAGCAGAACAGAGGCCGUAGAUGGGGACAAGGGGAAGGAAGUGGCCUCAGUGGCCAGAUGGCACCUGUCCACUGCACAGAGGCUGGAGCCUUGAGUUCCAUCUAGUCCUUGUCAACUACAAUCAUUCUGCCCUAUGGCUCAAUGAGUCCUGGAGAAAAUGUGUUUUCUGCAGGCUGCGGAGGUGAGAAUAAAACAAUUCAGCCGUAAGAAGUUGAAAGUCCCGGAAAUCAUAGCAGGUGGAGAUGGGAUUCCUACUUAAACUUCCUGCCCUUGACUUCUGGUUUGGCCAUGUGUCUCACUUUGGCCAAUGAAUGUGGUAAACUGCCCAUUCUGAGCCUGGGUGGUAGGAUAAGAGACCUUCACAUUUCCCUUUGUUCUUUGUACUCCUGCCAUUGCCAUGAGAAGAAGGCACCCUGGCAGGCCCCAACCCGAGGAGGAUCAGAGACACUUGGAGCAUAUCCAGCUCAGCCACCACAGUUUGAGCUUAAACCUCCCAAGCAACUCAUGCCCAUGAGUGAGAAAUGGUGGCCUAUGGUAGUAGGCCUCUGAGGUGUGGGGUUACUAGUUACAAAGCAAGAGUUAACUAACAGAGAUUUCUACCUCACAUCCCUAUGAAUCAAAGGACAAAGGAAAUGAAACAAAAUGUGAAAAGCAGAUUUCCAAUUUUUAGAAGAAAACAGAGGACAGAUUUUAUGACACUAAGCAGAGAAAAACUUUUUUUAAUAUGACACAAAACACAGACACCAUAAAAGAAACUACUGACAAAAAAGGCGAUGAAUAAAGUUAAAAGACAAAGACAGUGCAUGAUAAGGUUUGGCUG